GGCAACAACCACAGCAACCCACACUUUUUUCUGUCAAAUUAAGCAUGCUGCAGAAGAAAAUUGUCAAAAAUGGCUGCCUAAGUUUGCCUAUAAAAUGAGAGCUUCGGCUCUCAUUUUGAUACACCAACAGAAAGAGAGAAAAAAGUAAGGUUUCACAGACAGGGUAUAAGAAAAUAGUCUGUGAAGAAAAUAGAGAGUGAGCGAUAUUGUAGUGAGGUGGAAUAUCAAAAGAGG
RNAcentral lists this long non-coding RNA (234 nucleotides) under Nicotiana benthamiana. Its description in RNAcentral is "long non-coding RNA (NBEN_LNC023150)". Lineage: Eukaryota; Viridiplantae; Streptophyta; Magnoliopsida; Solanales; Solanaceae. The record is from RNAcentral.